ACUUUGAUUUAUGUAAUGUGCUUACGUAAUGUCAUUAUGUAACAUCAUUAUGGGCAUGGCAAAUUGGAUUCUAUUUCAGGCUCUACAGAAGCCAGACCAGGAGCUCCCCUCUGGCCCAGCGAGAAUCACUGCUUAGUUCUGCGCCGCCUUUCUCUCUUUGGGAUGUCUUCUCAAAGUUUCACUGGAAGGCCCUCAGCUUCCAGAAGGCUGUAUUUGCUGGUUGGUAAGGAAAUGGACUGGAAACUGCAGUUCAGAAAGGCUAACCGUUUCUACAUGUUAGAGUCUCAUCUCCUCAGCUAGAAUGGAAGCAUCUUGAGGGCAAGGAAGGAAACAAAGACAAGAUAUAGCUCACCCCUCGCCUA
Molecule: long non-coding RNA, 362 nt
Organism: Choloepus didactylus (southern two-toed sloth)
Lineage: Eukaryota; Metazoa; Chordata; Mammalia; Pilosa; Megalonychidae
Exons: 3
Source: RefSeq, a predicted model, not a curated record